AGAAUCAACGCUGGCGGCGUGCCUAACACAUGCAAGUCGCACGAGAAAGGGGAGCAAUCCCUGAGUAAAGUGGCGCACGGGUGAGUAACACGUGAAUCAUCUACCUCCGAGUGGGGAAUAACUGAGAGAAAUCUUAGCUAAUACCGCAUAACACUUACGAGUCAAAGCAGCAAUGCGCUUGGAGAGGAGUUCGCGGCAGAUUAGUUAGUUGGCGGGGUAAUAGCCCACCAAGACGAUGAUCUGUAUCCGGCCUGAGAGGGCGCACGGACACACUGGAACUGAAACACGGUCCAGACUCCUACGGGAGGCAGCAGUGGGGAAUUUUGCGCAAUGGGGGAAACCCUGACGCAGCAACGCCGCGUGGAGGAUGAAGCCCCUUGGGGUGUAAACUCCUUUCGAUCGGGAAGAUAAUGACGGUACCGAUAUAAGAAGCCCCGGCUAACUUCGUGCCAGCAGCCGC
RNAcentral lists this ribosomal RNA (460 nucleotides) under uncultured bacterium. RNAcentral's name for it is "SSU rRNA". It matches the Rfam family "Bacterial small subunit ribosomal RNA", at positions 26 to 518 of the family's 1533-position model. The record is from RNAcentral.